This 345-nucleotide ribosomal RNA is filed under the name uncultured bacterium. Its description in RNAcentral is "bacterial SSU rRNA". It matches the Rfam family "Bacterial small subunit ribosomal RNA", at positions 28 to 353 of the family's 1533-position model. The record is from RNAcentral.
GACGAACGCUGGCGGCGUGCCUAACACAUGCAAGUCGAACGGAGUUACUUCGACGGAUUCCUUCGGGAUGAAGAUGAUUUAACUUAGUGGCGGACGGGUGAGUAACGCGUGAGCAACCUGCCUUUCAGAGGGGGACAACAGUUGGAAACGACUGCUAAUACCGCAUAACGUAAAGUUUGGACAUCCUUACUUUACCAAAGGAGCAAUCCGCUGAAAGAUGGGCUCGCGUCCGAUUAGAUAGUUGGCGGGGUAAACGGCCCACCAAGUCGACGAUCGGUAGCCGGACUGAGAGGUUGAUCGGCCACAUUGGGACUGAGACAGGCCCAGACUCCUACGGAGGCAGCA